This 314-nucleotide unclassified non-coding RNA is filed under the name plant metagenome. RNAcentral's name for it is "partial contains small subunit ribosomal RNA, internal transcribed spacer 1, and 5.8S ribosomal RNA". The stretch from base 1 to 54 matches the Rfam family "Eukaryotic small subunit ribosomal RNA", at positions 1778 to 1831 of the family's 1831-position model. The record is from RNAcentral.
GGAAGUAAAAGUCAUAACAAGGUUUCCGUAGGUGAACCUGCGGAAGGAUCAUUAUUGAAUAAACCUGAUGUGGUUGUAGCUGGCCCUUUCGGGAGCAUGUGCACACCCGUCGUCUUUAUCUUUCCACCUGUGCACCUUUUGUAGACCUGGAUGUAACACUUUCCGAGGCAACUCGGUCGGGAGGAAUGCUGUCAGCUUUCCUUGAAUGUCCAGGCCUAUGUUUUCAUAUACCCCAAAGAAUGUAACAGAAUGUAUUAUUGGGCCUUGUGCCUAUAAACUAUAUACAACUUUCAGCAACGGAUCUCUUGGCUCUC